RNAcentral lists this ribosomal RNA (497 nucleotides) under uncultured bacterium. RNAcentral describes it as "partial 16S ribosomal RNA". It matches the Rfam family "Bacterial small subunit ribosomal RNA", at positions 28 to 507 of the family's 1533-position model. The record is from RNAcentral.
GAUGAACGCUGGCGGCGUGCCUAAUACAUGCAAGUCGAGCGAACAGACGAGGAGCUUGCUCCUCUGACGUUAGCGGCGGACGGGUGAGUAACACGUGGAUAACCUACCUAUAAGACUGGGAUAACUUCGGGAAACCGGAGCUAAUACCGGAUAAUAUAUUGAACCGCAUGGUUCAAUAGUGAAAGACGGUUUUGCUGUCACUUAUAGAUGGAUCCGCGCCGCAUUAGCUAGUUGGUAAGGUAACGGCUUACCAAGGCAACGAUUCGUAGCCGACCUGAGAGGGUGAGCGGCCACACUGGAACUGAGACACGGUCCAGACUCCUACGGGAGGCAGCAGUAGGGAAUCUUCCGCAAUGGGCGAAAGCCUGACGGAGCAACGCCGCGUGAGUGAUGAAGGUCUUCGGAUCGUAAAACUCUGUUAUUAGGGAAGAACAAAUGUGUAAGUAACUAUGCACGUCUUGACGGUACCUAAUCAGAAAGCCACGGCUAACUACGUG